UACGUAGGCAGCAGGCGUUGUUCGGAGUUACUGGGCGUAAAGGGUGUGUAGGCGGUUAUUUAAGUUUGGUGUGAAAUCUCCCGGCUCAACCGGGAGGGUGCGCCGAAUACUGAAUGACUUGGAGUGCGGGAGAGGAAAGUGGAAUUCCUGGUGUAGCGGUGAAAUGCGUAGAUAUCAGGAGGAACACCGGUGGUGUAGACGGCUUUCUGGACCGUAACUGACGCUGAGACACGAAAGCGUGGGUAGCAAACAGG
Molecule: ribosomal RNA, 254 nt
Filed under: uncultured bacterium
Lineage: Bacteria
Description: partial 16S ribosomal RNA
Rfam family: Bacterial small subunit ribosomal RNA
Source: RNAcentral